Molecule: ribosomal RNA, 489 nt
Filed under: uncultured bacterium
Lineage: Bacteria
Description: partial 16S ribosomal RNA
Rfam family: Bacterial small subunit ribosomal RNA
Source: RNAcentral
GACGAACGCUGGCGGCGUGCUUAACACAUGCAAGUCGAACGGUGAAGGGACCAGCUUGCUGGUUCUGGAUGAGUGGCGAACGGGUGAGUAACACGUGAGUAACCUGCCCCCUUCUUCUGGAUAACCGCAUGAAAGUGUGGCUAAUACGGGAUAUUCUGGGUCUGUCGCAUGGCGGGCCCGGGAAAGAUAUUGCUUCGGUGGGGGAUGGGCUCGCGGCCUAUCAGCUUGUUGGUGGGGUGAUGGCCUACCAAGGCGGUGACGGGUAGCCGGCCUGAGAGGGUGGACGGUCACACUGGGACUGAGACACGGCCCAGACUCCUACGGGAGGCAGCAGUGGGGAAGAUUGCACAAUGGGCGCAAGCCUGAUGCAGCGACGCCGCGUGAGGGAUGGAGGCCUUCGGGUUGUAAACCUCUUUCGCCAGUGAAGCAGGCCUGCUCCUUGUGGGUGGGUUGACGGUAGCUGGAGAAGAAGCGCCGGCUAACUACGUG